RNAcentral lists this long non-coding RNA (592 nucleotides) under Androctonus crassicauda. Lineage: Eukaryota; Metazoa; Arthropoda; Arachnida; Scorpiones; Buthidae. The record is from RNAcentral.
CUCAAAUAUAUAUACACAUAUAAUAAAAUUUUAUUAUUAUUUUUUUAAUUAUAAUUAUGCACGAGAUUAUUUUAAAUUGUUUUUUUUUAUUUUUUUUUCUCUUUGGGAAGUGUGUUUGUAAAUUUUAAAAUUAAAGGGGUGAUUUUUUUUAACUCGUGGCGCGCCCUCCCGAACUUCUAUCCCCUACUAGAUAUACAGUAAUAACAUUAUUCUGUCGUAUUCUCGCCGUAUUAACCAAAUCUUCCGUUUCUCUCCCCAUCUUGCGCCCUCCUAACCUCUCACUGCCCAGGUGAAAGCGCAGAAUUUGUAGGCUGGCAAGGUAGGCAAACGAUCUUCAGCUUUAUUUUUUUUAAUUUUGUGUUUUAUUCUUUUCUUCUGUCCGUCUGAUGAUUUACGUCCCGUACGAGCGUGUGUGUGCGUCUGUUUGUGUGCGUGUCGGGGGUGAUGCGCGAGAGGGCGCCGAUCAAAUUUCUGGCGCGACGCGACGCAUUAUUUUGCUUCCAUUCUAUACGUGGCAUGUGGGUAAAAAUAGGCCGCGCUGUGUGUGUGGUGUGUGUGUGUGUAUAUAUAUAUACAUAUGUAUGUAUAUGUA